RNAcentral lists this ribosomal RNA (253 nucleotides) under uncultured bacterium. RNAcentral's name for it is "partial 16S ribosomal RNA". It matches the Rfam family "Bacterial small subunit ribosomal RNA", at positions 524 to 776 of the family's 1533-position model. The record is from RNAcentral.
UACGUAGGGGGCGAGCGUUGUCCGGUGUUACUGGGCGUAAAGCGCACGCAGGCGGUCUGCUAAGUUUGGAGUGACAGUUGGUGGCUUAACUGCCAAAGUGCUUCGAAAACUGACAGACUUGAGGGCUUCAGAGGGACACGGAAUUCCGGGUGGAGUGGUGAAAUGCGUAGAGAUCCGGAGGAACACCAAAGGCGAAGGCAGUGUCCUGGGGAGUACCUGACGCUCAGGUGCGAAAGCCAGGGGAGCGAACGGG